RNAcentral lists this ribosomal RNA (675 nucleotides) under Bradyrhizobium lupini HPC(L). RNAcentral describes it as "bacterial SSU rRNA". It matches the Rfam family "Bacterial small subunit ribosomal RNA", at positions 1 to 728 of the family's 1533-position model. The record is from RNAcentral. Lineage: Bacteria; Pseudomonadati; Pseudomonadota; Alphaproteobacteria; Hyphomicrobiales; Nitrobacteraceae.
CUCAACUUGAGAGUUUGAUCCUGGCUCAGAACGAACGCUGGCGGCAGGCUUAACACAUGCAAGUCGAACGCCCCGCAAGGGGAGUGGCAGACGGGUGAGUAACGCGUGGGAACAUACCCUUUCCUGCGGAAUAGCUCCGGGAAACUGGAAUUAAUACCGCAUACGACGGGGAAGGAUUAUACGGGAAGGAUUGGCCCGCGUUGGAUUAGCUAGUUGGUGGGGUAAAGGCCUACCAAGGCGACGAUCCAUAGCUGGUCUGAGAGGAUGAUCAGCCACAUUGGGACUGAGACACGGCCCAAACUCCUACGGGAGGCAGCAGUGGGGAAUAUUGGACAAUGGGCGCAAGCCUGAUCCAGCCAUGCCGCGUGAGUGAUGAAGGCCUUAGGGUUGUAAAGCUCUUUCACCGAUGAAGAUAAUGACGGUAGUCGGAGAAGAAGCCCCGGCUAACUUCGUGCCAGCAGCCGCGGUAAUACGAAGGGGGCUAGCGUUGUUCGGAAUUACUGGGCGUAAAGCGCACGUAGGCGGAUAUUUAAGUCAGGGGUGAAAUCCCGCAGCUCAACUGCGGAACUGCCUUUGAUACUGGGUAUCUUGAGUAUGGAAGAGGUAAGUGGAAUUCCGAGUGUAGAGGUGAAAUUCGUAGAUAUUCGGAGGAACACCAGUGGCGAAGGCGGCUUA